UUUACAGAGAAUAUGCAACCUUUUCCUGCCACCCUGAAACUUUUGGUAGGUGGAGCUAGUCACAUGAAAGUAGAUAAAAGGAAAGGUAAAUAAAUACAGGAAAUGGUUGCAUGUAGUAACACUAGUCAACAGUAAACCACUGAAAAAAUAUAUAUAUUCACCCAAGAUAAGCAUCUUUUGUAUUAAGAAAGG
Pipistrellus kuhlii (Kuhl's pipistrelle) is the source of this 192-nucleotide long non-coding RNA. RefSeq lists it as uncharacterized. The transcript is spliced from 3 exons. The record is from RefSeq and is a predicted model, not a curated record. NCBI's taxonomy places the organism in Eukaryota, Metazoa, Chordata, Mammalia, Chiroptera, Vespertilionidae.